Molecule: ribosomal RNA, 468 nt
Filed under: uncultured bacterium
Lineage: Bacteria
Description: partial 16S ribosomal RNA
Rfam family: Bacterial small subunit ribosomal RNA
Source: RNAcentral
GACGAACGCUGGCGGCGUGCUUAACACAUGCAAGUCGAACGGACAGGCCCUGCUUUUGUGGGGUGCUCGAGUGGCGAACGGGUGAGUAACACGUGAGUAACCUGCCCUUGACUUUGGGAUAACUUCAGGAAACUGGGGCUAAUACCGGAUAGGAGCUACUGCUGCAUGGUGUUGGUUGGAAAGUUUCGGCGGUUGUGGAUGGACUCGCGGCUUAUCAGCUUGUUGGGGGGGUAGUGGCUUACCAAGGCUUUGACGGGUAGCCGGCCUGAGAGGGUGACCGGCCACAUUGGGACUGAGAUACGGCCCAGACUCCUACGGGAGGCAGCAGUGGGGAAUAUUGCACAAUGGGCGGAAGCCUGAUGCAGCAACGCCGCGUGCGGGAUGACGGCCUUCGGGUUGUAAACCGCUUUCGCCUGUGACGAAGCGUGAGUGACGGUAAUGGGUAAAGAAGCACCGGCUAACUACGUG